This 795-nucleotide ribosomal RNA is filed under the name uncultured bacterium. RNAcentral's name for it is "bacterial SSU rRNA". It matches the Rfam family "Bacterial small subunit ribosomal RNA", at positions 8 to 796 of the family's 1533-position model. The record is from RNAcentral.
AGAGUUUGAUCCUGGCUCAGAUUGAACGCUGGCGGCAUGCCUUACACAUGCAAGUCGAGCGGCAGCGCGGGGGCAACCCUGGCGGCGAGCGGCGAACGGGUGAGUAAUGCAUCGGAACGUGUCCUCUUGUGGGGGAUAACCAGUCGAAAGACUGGCUAAUACCGCAUGAGCUCGAGAGAGGAAAGCAGGGGAUCCGCAAGGACCUUGCGCGAGAGGAGCGGCCGAUGCCCGAUUAGCUAGUUGGUGGGGUAACGGCCUACCAAGGCGACGAUCGGUAGCUGGUCUGAGAGGACGACCAGCCACACUGGGACUGAGACACGGCCCAGACUCCUACGGGAGGCAGCAGUGGGGAAUUUUGGACAAUGGGGGCAACCCUGAUCCAGCCAUGCCGCGUGUGUGAAGAAGGCCUUCGGGUUGUAAAGCACUUUCGGCCGGAACGAAAUCGCGCGAUCUAAUAAGUCGCGUGGAUGACGGUACCGGAAGAAGAAGCACCGGCUAACUACGUGCCAGCAGCCGCGGUAAUACGUAGGGUGCGAGCGUUAAUCGGAAUUACUGGGCGUAAAGUGUGCGCAGGUGGCCGCGCAAGUCGAGUGUGAAAUCCCCGAGCUUAACUUGGGAAUUGCGCUCGAAACUACGUGGCUCGAGUGUGGCAGAGGAAGGUGGAAUUCCACGUGUAGCGGUGAAAUGCGUAGAGAUGUGGAGGAACACCGAUGGCGAAGGCAGCCUUCUGGGCCAACACUGACGCUCAUGCACGAAAGCGUGGGGAGCAAACAGGAUUAGAUACCCCCGUAGUCC